CAUAGCUCACUCUUAUGAAUCUAUAAGACAAAGAAGCACAAGAGUAACUGGUAACUCCUAGAAGCCAGAAAAGAAAUAUGGGACGGACAAUCCUUCAUAGUUCUCUAGAUGGGACCAAUUUUGCUGAUGCUGUCUAUUCCAGAUUCUUCAAGAUUGGAAAAAGAAGAUGAUGAGCAUUUUUAAAAUCAGUUCACUGAGCACUGGGCAACUGCUUAAGGGAAGGUCCAAGAACAGAAAAAAUAUUUGAAGAAAAUAAGAAAAAUCUGACAUUCAUAAUACAGGCACAAAUAGGAGUGCACAGAUUGCCUUUUGCGACAAAAAACAAAGGAAGAAAAAUGGCAGCAACCCAGAUUAUUAUUAUACUUAAAUGGUCUCUCACAUUUUAUGAAGAUCUUUGUGCAAACGUAUUAAGCCAUUCAUUUAACAGAAAUAUAUUUGUUUCACAUGUAUCAGAAAAUGUGAGUCUUAAGUAUAAUCCUGAGGUCAAA
This is a long non-coding RNA of Sapajus apella (tufted capuchin), 488 nucleotides long. RefSeq lists it as uncharacterized. The transcript is spliced from 4 exons. Lineage: Eukaryota; Metazoa; Chordata; Mammalia; Primates; Cebidae. The record is from RefSeq and is a predicted model, not a curated record.